UUGACCUCGGAUUAGGUAGGAAUACCCGCUGAACUUAAGCAUAUCAAUAAGCGGAGGA
RNAcentral lists this ribosomal RNA (58 nucleotides) under Hypoxylon fragiforme. Its description in RNAcentral is "partial 28S ribosomal RNA". It matches the Rfam family "Eukaryotic large subunit ribosomal RNA", at positions 1 to 57 of the family's 3401-position model. Lineage: Eukaryota; Fungi; Ascomycota; Sordariomycetes; Xylariales; Hypoxylaceae. RNAcentral also lists the same sequence under 43 other names. The record is from RNAcentral.